UACGGAGGAUGCAAGCGUUAUCCGGAUUUAUUGGGUUUAAAGGGUGCGCAGGUGGUUUAAUAAGUCAGUGGUGAAAGUCUGUCGCUUAACGGUAGGAUUGCCAUUGAUACUGUUAGACUUGAAUAUGGAUGAGGUAGGCGGAAUGUGUAGUGUAGCGGUGAAAUGCAUAGAUAUUACACAGAACACCGAUUGCGAAGGCAGCUUACUAAUCCAUCAUUGACGCUGAGGCACGAAAGCGUGGGGAUCAAACAGGAUUA
This 257-nucleotide ribosomal RNA is filed under the name uncultured prokaryote. RNAcentral's name for it is "partial 16S ribosomal RNA". It matches the Rfam family "Bacterial small subunit ribosomal RNA", at positions 524 to 780 of the family's 1533-position model. The record is from RNAcentral.